This 422-nucleotide ribosomal RNA is filed under the name Microvirga ossetica. Its description in RNAcentral is "partial 16S ribosomal RNA". It matches the Rfam family "Bacterial small subunit ribosomal RNA", at positions 355 to 774 of the family's 1533-position model. Lineage: Bacteria; Pseudomonadati; Pseudomonadota; Alphaproteobacteria; Hyphomicrobiales; Methylobacteriaceae. RNAcentral also lists the same sequence under 1 other name. The record is from RNAcentral.
UGAGGAAUAUUGGUCAAUGGGUGCAAGCCUGAACCAGCCAUCCCGCGUGAAGGACGACUGCCCUAUGGGUUGUAAACUUCUUUUGUAUAGGGAUAAACCUACCCUCGUGAGGGUAGCUGAAGGUACUAUACGAAUAAGCACCGGCUAACUCCGUGCCAGCAGCCGCGGUAAUACGGAGGGUGCAAGCGUUAUCCGGAUUUAUUGGGUUUAAAGGGUCCGUAGGCGGACUUAUAAGUCAGUGGUGAAAGCCUGUCGCUUAACGAUAGAACUGCCAUUGAUACUGGAAGUCUUGAGUAUAUUUGAGGUAGCUGGAAUAAGUAGUGUAGCGGUGAAAUGCAUAGAUAUUACUUAGAACACCAAUUGCGAAGGCAGGUUACCAAGAUAUAACUGACGCUGAGGGACGAAAGCGUGGGGAGCGAACA